This 492-nucleotide ribosomal RNA is filed under the name uncultured bacterium. RNAcentral's name for it is "partial 16S ribosomal RNA". It matches the Rfam family "Bacterial small subunit ribosomal RNA", at positions 29 to 507 of the family's 1533-position model. The record is from RNAcentral.
AGUGAACGCUGGCGGUAGGCCUAACACAUGCAAGUCGAACGGCAGCACAGUAAGAGCUUGCUCUUACGGGUGGCGAGUGGCGGACGGGUGAGGAAUACAUCGGAAUCUACUUUUUCGUGGGGGAUAACGUAGGGAAACUUACGCUAAUACCGCAUACGACCUACGGGUGAAAGCAGGGGAUCUUCGGACCUUGCGCGAUUGAAUGAGCCGAUGUCGGAUUAGCUAGGUGGCGGGGUAAAGGCCCACCAAGGCGACGAUCCGUAGCUGGUCUGAGAGGAUGAUCAGCCACACUGGAACUGAGACACGGUCCAGACUCCUACGGGAGGCAGCAGUGGGGAAUAUUGGACAAUGGGCGCAAGCCUGAUCCAGCCAUACCGCGUGGGUGAAGAAGGCCUUCGGGUUGUAAAGCACUUUUGUUGGGAAAGAAAAGCAGCAGGUUAAUACCCCGCUGUUCUGACGGUACCCAAAGAAUAAGCACCGGCUAACUUCGUG